CCUACGGGAGGCAGCAGUAGGGAAUAUUGGGCAAUGGAGGCAACUCUGACCCAGCCAUGCCGCGUGCAGGAUGAAGGCGUUAUGCGUUGUAAACUGCUUUUAUAUAGGAAGAAAGAGUUCUUGCGAGAACAGUUGACGGUACUAUAUGAAUAAGCACCGGCUAACUCCGUGCCAGCAGCCGCGGUAAUACGGAGGGUGCAAGCGUUGUCCGGAUUUAUUGGGUUUAAAGGGUGCGUAGGCGGUUUAUUAAGUCAGUGGUGAAAGACGGUCGCUCAACGAUUGCAGUGCCAUUGAUACUGGUAGACUUGAGUGAGAUUGAGGUAGCUGGAAUGGAUAGUGUAGCGGUGAAAUGCAUAGAUAUUAUCCAGAACACCAAUUGCGUAGGCAAGUUACUAAGUCUUAACUGACGCUGAGGCACGAAAGUGUGGGUAUCAAACAGGAUUAGAUACCCUGGUAGUCCACACUGUAAACGAUGAUAACUAACUGUUGGCUUUCGGGUCNGUGGUACGGAGAAAUCGUUAAGUUAUCCACCUGGGGAGUACGCCGGCAACGGUGAAACUUAAAUGAAUUGACCGG
RNAcentral lists this ribosomal RNA (576 nucleotides) under uncultured bacterium. RNAcentral describes it as "bacterial SSU rRNA". It matches the Rfam family "Bacterial small subunit ribosomal RNA", at positions 338 to 917 of the family's 1533-position model. The record is from RNAcentral.